RNAcentral lists this ribosomal RNA (486 nucleotides) under uncultured bacterium. Its description in RNAcentral is "partial 16S ribosomal RNA". It matches the Rfam family "Bacterial small subunit ribosomal RNA", at positions 30 to 507 of the family's 1533-position model. The record is from RNAcentral.
AUUGAACGCUGGCGGAAUGCUUUACACAUGCAAGUCGAACGGCAGCACGGGAGCUUGCUCCUGGUGGCGAGUGGCGAACGGGUGAGUAACAUAUCGGAACGUACCCAGUCGUGGGGGAUAACUAUCCGAAAGGAUAGCUAAUACCGCAUACGUCCUGAGGGAGAAAGCGGGGGAUCGCAAGACCUCGCGCGAUUGGAGCGGCCGAUAUCGGAUUAGCUAGUUGGUGGGGUAAAGGCUCACCAAGGCGACGAUCCGUAGCGGGUCUGAGAGGACGACCCGCCACACUGGAACUGAGACACGGUCCAGACUCCUACGGGAGGCAGCAGUGGGGAAUUUUGGACAAUGGGGGCAACCCUGAUCCAGCCAUUCCGCGUGAGUGAAGAAGGCCUUCGGGUUGUAAAGCUCUUUCAGCAGGAACGAAACGGUCGGCUUUAAUAAAGUCGGCUAACGACGGUACCUGCAGAAGAAGCACCGGCUAACUACGUG